This 337-nucleotide unclassified non-coding RNA is filed under the name soil metagenome. RNAcentral's name for it is "partial contains 5.8S ribosomal RNA, internal transcribed spacer 2, and large subunit ribosomal RNA". The stretch from base 1 to 120 matches the Rfam family "5.8S ribosomal RNA", at positions 35 to 154 of the family's 154-position model. The record is from RNAcentral.
GAUGAAGAACGUAGCGAAAUGCGAUAAGGAGUGUGAAUUGCAGAAUUCAGUGAAUCAUCGAAUCUUUGAACGCACAUUGCGCCCCAUGGUAUUCCGUGGGGCAUGCCUGUUCGAGCGUCAUUUACCCCCUCAAGCUCCGCUUGGUGUUGGGCGUCUGUCCCGCUUCGCGCGCGGACUCGCCCCAAAGGUAUUGGCAGCGGUCGUGCCAGCUUCUCGCGCAGCACAUUGCGCUUCUCGAGGCACCGGUGGGCCCGCGUCCAUCAAGCUCACCGCCCCAGUUUGACCUCGGAUCAGGUAGGGAUACCCGCUGAACUUAAGCAUAUCAAUAAGCGGAGGA